This 101-nucleotide ribosomal RNA is filed under the name uncultured bacterium. Its description in RNAcentral is "partial 16S ribosomal RNA". The record is from RNAcentral.
AAGACGGCCUACGGUUGUAAACUGCUUUUAUACGGGAAUAAACCUUGGUACGUGUACCAAGCUGAAUGUACUGUAAGAAUAAGGAUCGGCUAACUCCGUGC